RNAcentral lists this long non-coding RNA (2089 nucleotides) under Homo sapiens (human). Its description in RNAcentral is "non-protein coding DNAJC27-AS1:22". Lineage: Eukaryota; Metazoa; Chordata; Mammalia; Primates; Hominidae. The record is from RNAcentral.
GACGUCAUCUGCAGGCCCUGGAGACGCGACUGCAGUUACCGAGUUUCUAAGGCCUCGUCCCCUGACGGGAAGGCGGCGUUGGGGGGCGGCUGGGUUUACCCUUCGAGAGACGGGGCUUCGCCAUCUUUCCCAGGCUGGUCUCAAACUCCUGAGCUCAAGUGACCCUCCUGCCUUGGCCUCCCAGAGUGCUGGGAUUACAGGCAUGAGCAAUGGUGCCUGGCCCAAAAUUCAUACAUUAGCAAAAGUAGGGAGAAUAAAGUAAUGAACACUCAUUUUCCACCUUCAGCAAUAUCAACGUGGAUCAAUCUUGUUUCAUCUAUACCCCAGAUUAUUUUGGGGCAAACUAUAAAUAUAGUUAUACUAUAACUAUCCAUAUCUUAUUAUGUACUUUAGAAGGUGAAGCUCUUAAAAUACAGACAUAAAUGAAAUCUAACUGGCAUACUGUGGUAAGCCGAAUUCUAAGAUGGCCUCUAAGAUUCCUGGCCCCUGGUACACACAUACCUUUUCCCAGUUAGUUAAUCAAACAUGAAUUUGGGUGCUGCUACAAAGGGAUUUUGGUAAUUAAGUUCCCAGAUCAGUUGUUUUUACGCUGAAGAUAUUAUCCUCCAUGGGCCUGACCCAAUCAGAUGAGUCCUUAAGUAGGAUAGGGCUUUUCCUGGCAAAAGAUAUUAAAAAUGUGAGAAGCAUUCAAUAGGAGGAAGGUUCUCCAGGAUGGAAGGGGAUACUUAGCAAGGACCUAAGAGUGGCCUCUUGGAGCUAAGAGUAACCCCCAGCCAACAGCAAGAAAAUGAGCAGCUCAGUCCUACAACCAGAAGUAACUGAAUUCUGCCAAAAACCUGAAUGAGCCUGGAAGGAGCUCCUGAGCUCUGAUGAGAACCCAGCUGUCUGCUACCUUCAUUGCAGCCUUGUGAGACUUUUUUUUUCUGAGACAGGGUCUCGCUCUGUUGCCCAGGCUGGAGUGCAGUGGCACGAUGUCAGCUCAUUGCAGCCUCUGGCUCCCAGGUUCAAGUGAUUCUCCUGCCUCAGUCUCCCGAGUAGCUGGGAUUACAGGCGCCUGUCACCACACCCGGCUAAUUUUGUAUUUUUAGUAGAGAUGGGGUUUCACCACGUUGGCCAGGAUGGUCUCGAACUCCUGAUCUCAAGCGAUCUGCCCACCUCAGCCUCCCAAAGUGCUGGGAUUACAGGCGUGAACCACUGCACCCAGCCUACUUUUUUUUUUUUUUUGAGAUAGGCUCUCUCUGUUGCCCAGGCUGGAAUGCAGUGGCACAAUCAUAACUCACUGCAGCCUUGACCUCCUGGGCUCAAGUGAUCCUCCUAUCUCAGUCUUCCGAGUAGCUGCGACUACAGGUCUGUAGCACCAUGCCUGGCUAGUUAUUUUUUGUAGAGGCAAGCUCUCACUAUGUUGCCCAGGCUAGUCUUAAAUUCCUCGCCUCGAAUGAGCCUCCCACCACAGCCUCCCAAAAUGCUGGGAUUACAGGCCUGAGCCACCAUCCUGGCCCCUUGUGAGAUUUCUGGGCUAGAGAACCCAGCCUCUGUAUGCCUUAUCAUCUGACCUACAGGACUGCAAGAUGUUUAAUGUCUGUUGUUUGAAACUGUUGAAUUUGCAGUAAUUUGUUAUGCAGCAAUAGAAAACUAAUAUACAUACUGAAAAGUUGGUAGUAAUUCCUCUCAGUGACCAAGUUUUUGUGGGAAAGUUUUUAACUACAAAUUCAAUUUUUUAAGGAGUUCUGCUUCCAGUAUGGUAGUGUAAACCCUUUCAGAUAAUUCUCCCACUGAUUAAAAAACAAUAACAGGGCUGGGCGUGGUAGCUCAUGCCUGUAAUUCCAGCACUUUGGGAGGCCAAGGCAGGCAGAUCACUUGAGGCCAGGAGUUCGAGACCAGCCUGCACAACAUGACAAAACCCCAUCUGUACUAAAAAUACAAAAAUCAGCUGGGUUUGAUGGUACACACCUGUACUCCUAGCGACUUGGGAGGCUGAGGUGGGAGGAUUGGUUGAAUCCAAGAGCCAGAGAUUGCAAUGAGCCGAGAUCAUGCCAUCACACUCCAAUCUGGGUAACACAGUGAGACUCUUCCUCAAGAAAGAAAAAAA